Dermacentor andersoni is the source of this 287-nucleotide long non-coding RNA. RefSeq lists it as uncharacterized. NCBI's taxonomy places the organism in Eukaryota, Metazoa, Arthropoda, Arachnida, Ixodida, Ixodidae. The record is from RefSeq and is a predicted model, not a curated record.
AACGGGCGCGCCUGGUUGCAUUGGUGUGCGCAGCACGGUCCACGACGGCAAGAUGCUUCUCGCUCUUACAUUUGUAGUUUUGUUUGCCUCGCUAAUGCAGGUUCAACAAGUUAUCGGCGCUGACCAGAGUGGAGGAUCAGGGAGACCUGUGAUCCAAAAGGUCCUGUGCACGGCAGCCAUGAAGAAAAGGUGCAUGGAGAUGCGCCAACAAUGUGACAUCUCUCAGGGUGUCGCCCAAUGCGUGAAACCUUACCCUACGGAAUAAAAUCCGUUUUAGAUGCACAAGA